Molecule: small nucleolar RNA, 148 nt
Organism: Dasypus novemcinctus (nine-banded armadillo)
Lineage: Eukaryota; Metazoa; Chordata; Mammalia; Cingulata; Dasypodidae
Source: Ensembl
UGAUGGCUGUUCUUCUCAUUGCUUGGAGCUUUAGGCAGUGGGAUUUUAAUCCAUCAUAUAUCAAAAGUGGCUUGUCUUCAUUCGGGGCACCAUGGGGAUGGGUUGGCUGUCCAUUAGUACCUUCUGAUUUUUGUGAAGCCAAAUAAUU